RNAcentral lists this ribosomal RNA (496 nucleotides) under uncultured bacterium. RNAcentral describes it as "partial 16S ribosomal RNA". It matches the Rfam family "Bacterial small subunit ribosomal RNA", at positions 29 to 507 of the family's 1533-position model. The record is from RNAcentral.
AUGAACGCUGGCGGCGUGCCUAAUACAUGCAAGUCGAGCGAACGGACGAGAAGCUUGCUUUUCUGAUGUUAGCGGCGGACGGGUGAGUAACACGUGGAUAACCUACCUAUAAGACUGGGAUAACUUCGGGAAACCGGAGCUAAUACCGGAUAAUAUUUUGAACCGCAUGGUUCAAAAGUGAGAGACGGUCUUGCUGUCACUUAUAGAUGGAUCCGCGCUGCAUUAGCUAGUUGGUAAGGUAACGGCUUACCAAGGCAACGAUGCAUAGCCGACCUGAGAGGGUGAUCGGCCACACUGGAACUGAGACACGGUCCAGACUCCUACGGGAGGCAGCAGUAGGGAAUCUUCCGCAAUGGGCGAAAGCCUGACGGAGCAACGCCGCGUGAGUGAUGAAGGUCUUCGGAUCGUAAAACUCUGUUAUUAGGGAAGAACAUAUGUGUAAGUAACUGUGCACAUCUUGACGGUACCUAAUCAGAAAGCCACGGCUAACUACGUG